GCGUUGAAAAGCUCGGGGAUGACUUGUGGGUAGCGGUGAAAUUCCAAUCGAGCCCGGAGAUAGCUGGUUCUCCCCGAAAUAGCUUUAGGGCUAGCCUCAAGGUGAGAGAUACGGAGGUAGAGCACUGAAUGUCCUAGGGGGUAUUGCACCUACCGAAGACUAUCAAACUCCGAAUGCCGUCAUCUUAUACUUGGGAGUCAGACUGUGGGUGAUAAGAUUCAUAGUCGAAAGGGCAACAGCCCAGAUCGUCAGCUAAGGUCCCUAAAUGUAAGUUAAGUGGUAAAGGAUGUGGGAUUGCACAGACAACCAGGAUGUUGGCUUAGAAGCAGCCACUCAUUCAAAGAGUGCGUAAUAGCUCACUGGUCGAGUGAUCCUGCGCCGAAGAUUUCCGGGGCUAAAACUUACUACCGAAGCUACGGCAUCAGUAAUGAUGGGUAGGGGAGCUUCCCAUACGGGUUGAAGCAUGACCGUAAGGACAUGUGGACAGUAUGGGAGUGAGAAUGUUGGCAUGAGUAGCGAGAUGUGGGUGAGAAUCCCACAGGCCGUAAACCCAAGGUUUCCAGGGGAAGGUUCGUCCGCCCUGGGUUAGUCGGGACCUAAGCUGAGGCCGAAAGGCGUAGGUGAUGGACAACAGGUUGAUAUUCCUGUACUACCGAUAACCGUUUGAGAGAAGGGAUGACACAGUAGGAUAAGCUAAGCACACUGUUGGUUAUGUGUGCCCAAGCAUUGAGGCAGUCAAAGUAGGCAAAUCCGCUUUGAUAAUGCUGGGAUGUGAUGGGGAGCGAAAUUUAGUAGCGAAGUAGCUGAUUUCACACUGUCAAGAAAAGUCUCUAUCGAGGUUAAAGGUACCCGUACCGCAAACCGACACAGGUGGGUGAGGAGAGUAUCCUAAGGCCAGCGAGAGAACUGUUGUUAAGGAACUCGGCAAAAUGACCCCGUAACUUAGGGAUAAGGGGUGCCACCAUCAGGUGGCCGCAGAGAAUAGGCCCAAGCGACUGUUUACCAAAAACAUAGGUUUCUGCUAAGUCGCAAGACGAUGUAUAGGAGCUGACGCCUGCCCGGUGCUGGAAGGUUAAGGGGAUCUGUUAGAGCAAUCGAAGCAGUGAACUUAAGCCCCAGUAAACGGCGGCCGUAACUAUAACGGUCCUAAGGUAGCGAAAUUCCUUGUCGGGUAAGUUCCGACCCGCACGAAAGGCGUAACGAUUUGGGCACUGUCUCAACAACAGACUCGGUGAAAUUGUAAUUCCGGUGAAGAUGCCGGAUACCUGCGACAGGACGGAAAGACCCCAUGGAGCUUUACUGUAGCUUGACAUUGGGUCUUGGUACUACAUGUACAGGAUAGGUGGGAGGCUUUGAAACCAGGACGCCAGUUUUGGCGGAGCCAUCCUUGGGAUACCACCCUUGUAGUACUGGGACUCUAACCAUAGGCCAUGAAUCUGGUCUUGGGACACUGUCAGGUGGGCAGUUUGACUGGGGCGGUCGCCUCCCAAAAGGUAACGGAGGCGCUCAAAGGUUCUCUCAGUACGGUCGGAAAUCGUACGUAGAGUGUAAAGGCAAAAGAGAGCUUGAUUGCAAGACAUACAGGUCGAGCAAGGAUGAAAAUCGGACUUAGUGAUCCGGUGGUUCUGCGUGGAAGGGCCAUCGCUCAACGGAUAAAAGCUACCCUGGGGAUAACAGGCUUAUCUCCCCCAAGAGUCCACAUCGACGGGGAGGUUUGGCACCUCGAUGUCGGCUCAUCACAUCCUGGGGCUGUAGUAGGUCCCAAGGGUUGGGCUGUUCGCCCAUUAAAGUGGUACGCGAGCUGGGUUCAGAACGUCGUGAGACAGUUCGGUCCCUAUCCGUCGCAGGCGUAGGAAAUUUGAGAAGACCUGUCCUUAGUACGAGAGGACCGGGAUGGACGUACCUCUGGUGUACCAGUUGUCCUGCCAAGGGCAUGGCUGGGUAGCUAUGUACGGAAUGGAUAAGCGCUGAAAGCAUCUAAGCGCGAAGCCAACUUCAAGAUAAGAUUUCCCACCGCAAGGGUAAGACCCCAGAAAGACUAUCUGGUUGAUAGGUCGAAGGUGUAAGUGCAGCAAUGUAUUUAGCUUAUCGAUACUAAUAGGUCGAGGACUUGACCAAU
This 2119-nucleotide ribosomal RNA is filed under the name Clostridioides difficile. RNAcentral's name for it is "bacterial LSU rRNA". It matches the Rfam family "Bacterial large subunit ribosomal RNA", at positions 786 to 2925 of the family's 2925-position model. Lineage: Bacteria; Bacillati; Bacillota; Clostridia; Peptostreptococcales; Peptostreptococcaceae. The record is from RNAcentral.